This is a long non-coding RNA of Aethalodelphis obliquidens (Pacific white-sided dolphin), 4672 nucleotides long. RefSeq lists it as uncharacterized. The record is from RefSeq and is a predicted model, not a curated record. NCBI's taxonomy places the organism in Eukaryota, Metazoa, Chordata, Mammalia, Artiodactyla, Delphinidae. The transcript is spliced from 8 exons.
AGCCCUCGCUCCUGGGCGUCGACGUCCGCCCGCCGGGCGCCGCGCCCUGCGCAGGCCCCCGCAGGUGCUGCGGCCCCACGCCCCGGCCCGAGAACCAAGAGCGCCCGCCCUCCCGCCGGGGGUUCCUGGAGCCAGCCUGCGCCUGCGCUGCCCGAGGGGGGCGGAGCCUGGCCGGGUUGGGGGCCGGGCGGGGCCUUAAGGGGCCAUGUCCCACUUACUUCUCCUUCCUUCAGAGCCCCUACUGCUCCCCCUUCUUCCUCCCACCAGAAGCCCCGCUUGCGCCUUCCUGUGGAGCCAGAAGGAGAAGAGGUGAACCAGAAGUAUAACAUGCAUCCAGAGAAGUGCAAAGACUUGGGCAUUUUACAAAGUGAAUACACCCAGCACCGAGAUCAAGAAACACCAUAAUCAGGAUCCGGAAGUCCCCCCAAAUAUCAGAGGCAAAGACUUCUGAAGGCCAGUGCUCCAACUUGAGAAAGCUGUGGAGGCUGUGGUUCAGGUCCGGGGAAUGAGCAUGGACGAAGUAGAAUAGUAUGCUGACUAGACCAGUGCUUCUUAAACUGCAGUGUGCCACUGAAUGACCCAGGCAUCUGGUUGAAAGGCAGGUUCUGAUUCAGCAAGCUGGGAAGGGGAUGCUGCGAUGCUACAUUCCUGUCAAGCUCCUACACUUGGUUAGCAAGGCCUUGAACCCAGAGAUUCUCAAUAAUGCUGUACAUAAGAAUCACACGGGAGGCUUUUCAAAACACUGCUGCCCAGGUCCCACCCCAGAACAAUUCAGUUGCAAUCUCUGGGGUGGGGCUCACAUCCAUAGGUUUUAAAAGCUCCCCUGGUGAUUCCAGUGUGCAACCAGAAACAGUGGGUGCUGGUUCCCUGGAGCACCCCCAGUGCCUGAGCUGAGGUGGGAGGGAAGUGAGGUGUGGGGUCAGGUCCGGUGUCUGAGCAAACGAUCCAGUAUGACAAAGGGCAAGAGAUUUCUUAGUCAGCAAUGGACCAUUUGCCCCUUAGUGGAGGUGAAGGGAGGGAUUUCUGAAGGAAUUCUUUGGCGUGGGGCUACCUGCUAACCCAGGUCACAUCCUCCCAGGACCAAGAACAGACCUGUGCCUUCACCUUAUCAAGCAAGUCAGAGCUCCCCAGAGCUGCUCCAGGGGCUGGGCUCACAUGCCCCCAGGCGGUUCAAACAUUUUCAAAACCUUACUAGGGCAGUGGGAGGAGGUGCUGCCAGCUGCUCCCACACCCUGCCCUGCUAGAGAAAGAGCCAGAUGAGUCCAGAGAUUACAAGCCCUGGAUCAACAUGGGCUAUUCAGGAUGAAGUGCCAUAGUCCUGGGUUCUGACGCCCUCUGGUGGACACCUAGAGUUGAAGUUGGUAACCAACAGACUACUGUGUCCAGGUCACUUCUCCCAGCUUUACUCCCAUCCACAGUCUGUUUGCCUGUGUUUACUUUUUAAGUCAUCAGGCUGUGCACGUGGCUACUAAUUCUGACAGGGGAAAGCUUGGACAUAGGAUGUACACCACCAAGAGUGAAUCGUAAUGUCAACUAUGGAUGAUAAUGAUGUGUCAAGUGAGGUUCAUUGAUUGUGACAAAGAUGGAAUCCAGCAACAAUUUGGAGAACCCAGUAACUCAUUUACUCAAGAAAUAAAAACUCACAUGUCCAAAAACUGGAAGAUCUGCAUUAACAAUGGGAAAUUUAGUCUGGUCCAUGUAUAUCAAGACACCGAUUGCAUUUAAACUUUCAGCAUUUGCAGCCUAAAGAAAAACAGGGUAAUUUUAGGGGAAAUGAGUAGCUUCCAGAAGAUCUGCUGUAAGCACAAUGAAAGAUAGUAUUGCUACUGGUGAACUCAAGAUUUACAGCUUCAACUUUUACUCUUUUGAAGCAUUCUGAAUACCCCGGAAGCAAAACUCCUCUUCGUUCCGCUUUCUUUCCCAUGACUCUUUGUAAGUAUCUACAUAUUAGUUAUAUGAUCUUUUUUUUGAUAGACCUUAUCCUCACUUUAUCCAUAAUGCCUAAAUACAGUAUCCACAGAAGUAUUCACCAGAUGAAGUAAAAAAUGCCAAGAUUUCUAAUUUAAGACAAAAAGAAUUACUGUACCAUUGAAAUUAUAGGGGGCUAACAAAAGGUAAAAGUUGAUUUGUUCUUUAUAUGGAGUUAGAUAUGUGUCCAAAGAAGACCUUAAAAAUCUAAGGACAGGAAACUUAAGGACACUUCUUAGGGUAUAGAUUGAGUGAGAACCAGAAGAAAUCAAGAAAUACUAGAGACAUUAUCAAGCUGGGCAGUCAAGUUGGUUCUGAACUAGAGGAUGAAAAAGGCUACCGAUGCCCUUAUGGAUAGUAGCAGGGCUCAGCAUGACUUACAAGGGGUUGAGAUGGAAAAUCGGAGCAGAAGAAAGUCUGACAGCAAGCAACAGGCUACAAAGAACCAGACGACAAAAAGAUCAAGAGCCUGUGAAUUUUCUUAAAAAAAAGGAGUCCCCACAGAAAUUCUAACAUUUUUUCCUAACAACAUAGUUUGAGUUCUUUACUGACUCUUUACGCUCUAACUGAACAUGGGAAGUCUCGCCUUAUAAAGCGUUUCCUCCAGACUAUAUCACCUUUGUUUUUUUCCACUGCACCUAAUAAUCAAUAUUUGUGUAGGCACUGAGGUUGAACUUGUAAAGCAGCUCAAGCUUACUUGAUGGCACUGGUGAAGUCUAUGGCAUCCAGUCUCUUGGACAACAUUGAUUUGAGGUCUGCCCAAAAUAUGCGACGUGUUUCGGGGAGCUGCUCUUCUGUUUCGAAAGUUUCUGUCUCCUCUGUGCACGAAGGCUCUCUUCCUGCCGGUCUCUCACAAUCGGCUUUUGGUUCUACACGUUUACAAUAGCCCAAGUAGCCAAUCAUAAAUCCUAAGGAUAAAAAGUUUCAGAGCUGAACUCAUAGAAUUUCAUUUAUAAUCUAUUCCUAUAAGAAUUGUUAAUAUUUUCAGCUAACCCUUGAAAAUACUGGUUUUAAUCAAAUUGUAAGCCAUUUGAAAGUAAGUAAUGCAUCUCCAUUUUGUCUAUUUUAAACCAAUCUAUUAUAUAAUAAUUUUACUUUAAACAGUUACCUUUUCAAAGCAAAGGUACCUUUUCUUCCCCCGAAGCCUUCCUUGAAUCCUCAGGUCCAGGGUCUAUGCUACAAAUAUCCUGUGCAUAUUUCUAGUAUAACAUUUGCACAUUACACUGAAAUGAUUCAUGUGUCUCUCUUCUCCCACCAGGUUAACCUCAAAGGCAGGUACAGAGUCUUAGCCAUCAUUGUAUUCCUAGUGCCUUGCACAAUGGCACAUAAAAAGGUACGAAAUAAAUGUUUGCUGAGCUGGAUGGACAGAAUUCCUAGAGUUGGUGACAAGGAACAUUUAAGUUUUGAAUGGCCAUUCUUACCAAUCAAGAAAAAGACGAUUACAGCAAUAGUCCCAUAGCAGAUAUAUCCAUUUAACCUUUUUGGUUUUGUGACAUUGGUGUGGUUACCCCUCAUGUUAUUGUCAACAUUUUCUUCUUCAUCUACAGCUAGUUUCAUCUCCACAUGACUGUUAUCGCCAUCGACUUGCCGAGCCAGACUAAACCGGGUAUAUGACAAUGGUUCUCCACCAAACUGAGAUUUAAAAAAGAAAAAAGGACAGAGAGAAGAAAGGGAAUAGGGACAGUCAAAGAAAGUUUGGUGAGGUGUUAUACAUAUUAUUGGGCCAUUACUAUGACUUGCUAUACAUUCUCAAGGAAAAAGAAGUUCCCCCUUCAAAUCAGCAUUCUCCUCUGUGCCCAGUUCUGUCAACAGCAGAUGAGGGCUGGAUCACACACUGGCCUUCAUCUCAUUCAGACUUUUCAUUCAGGGUUUCUGUUAUGCAUGUCUACUGGUAUACAAUUUGACCAGUGCUUUCUUUACUUCAUCUUACCUACUUGAUUGUCUCUCUGCCCUGAAACUUCUUACAAGAUUUUCCAUAAUUAGCUCUACUCAAGACUGAAUAUACCCUUCCUUUGUGAGAUCAGUUACGCCUCAAGACCACCACUUCGAAUAUAAAUGAAUACCUGAUGACGGCUUUGGGUAUUAUCUCCUGCUUACUGGGUGAAAGCCAUCCUUGUAUACUUCGUAUUCUUGCAAACUGGUGACAGAGAAAUCUUUCUUACUGAAAAUCUUACCAAGUUAGAGAAUGCUGAUCUUGCUUGAUCCAUCAUUGCGAGCUGCCACACAGAAGAGCCUAGUAGUAAAAUAGAGAAUUAAUAUAAUGAGAUACAUACCAUUGUAUCAGACUGGUGAGGACUUUUCAUUACCACACUAGAUUAUUGUAUAUCAAAUAUCCUUUUUAAUAUAUUAUCACCUUUCUAGAAACGGUCUUUAACCAAAAUAUUUAGUUUACAUGACAACUAAAUUUAGUGUGAUCCUUGAUUAGAUCUAAAUUGGGGCAGGGGGUGGGCAGCUUGAAGGACAUUAUUGGAAGAAACAAGAAAUUUGAAUAUAGACUGUAUCCUAGAUAACAGGAUUGUAUCAAUAUUAGAUUUAGGAGUGUGAUAAUGGUAUUGCGUUUUUUGGAGGAGAACGCCCUUGUUCUUAGGAGAUUAAUGCCAAAGAAUUUAAGGAUGAAGUAUUGUGAUGUCUGUCACUUAAUUCCAAAGAGUUCAGUUUAAAAAGUAUGUAAGAAAUAAAGGAAAUGUGGUUAACGAUCAGUGAA